Molecule: long non-coding RNA, 949 nt
Organism: Diceros bicornis minor
Lineage: Eukaryota; Metazoa; Chordata; Mammalia; Perissodactyla; Rhinocerotidae
Exons: 3
Source: RefSeq, a predicted model, not a curated record
GGGAGAACUCCAAUGGCGCCUGUGUCAGCAUGCCCACACCAGGCCACAACUAUGGCCGCCGCCAAUGUCCCAGUCCCUGGAGAGGUCUCACCCCUCACCGAGAUGCACUCAGGGCCUAUUAGAUUCCUGAUUUUGGUUGGAUGUCGAAGCAACCAGCCCCACGGAAGGAUCCAGGCAAGCCACAGCAAUCUGUUGCCAUUUUGCCUCUGACUGAAACGCUGGAACUUAUGCCACUCAGUUCUACACAAUCAGAGAGGUUCUGUGAAGAUAUGAUCACUGGAGCUAUGGCAGCUAUCUUGCUACCGUGAAGAAAGAAGUAACAUGUUAAGAAUACAAAUGGAAAGAAGAAAAGAGCUCGGUUUCUUUAUGAUAUUUUUGACCUAUGGAACCACCCACAGUACUGUCUAUCUCCAGACUUUUGGCAUUGUGAGAUAAUUAUCUUAGUAUCAAAGGUACUAUGAUCCGGUAUUCUGUUACUUACAGCUAAAUAGAUCCUAACUGAUACUGUCCCAUAAAUGGAAGACUCAGUGUGACUGGCUAUGUCCACAUCCUUGAAACAUUACCAAUGUUAUUUAUACUACAAAAAGAUAUUAUAUGGCUUUAUGUCAGUCCAAUUUAGGGCUAAAAUUCUCAGGUGCAGGGUAUUAGUUAACUACACAUUUUGCCUCCUUUUAAAAUUCGUAUUUGUAAUAUAAGCAAUUUAAAGAAAUUUUUGUUUUUAUGUGUCUUUACCAUAUGUCAAGCCACUUUGAAAUGAAAAAAACAAGAUAUUCAUUGUAUCGAAUAUGUCAUGUAUGUACGUAAUAUCGUACCCCCAAAUCUAGAAAAUGUGAACACAAAAGUUCAUAACAGCUCCAGGUAAAAUUUCUGGUAUUUAUUGGCUUUUCUUCUUUCUUUUCCAUCUUACAAGAGUCAUUUUAUUUUGAUCUUCAAGUAGAGCCAAAUGGGU